GAAAAUCAUAAUGUAACUAGUACAACAUAAGUUACCCACUAUAGGCUUUCUAACAUUAGAGUCAAACAAAUAAUAAGCUGCAAUCUAGGAACUGAGGAUUCAAGAAAGCUUGUUAGUGUAGAAGUCUCAACUAGAACAGUGCAACAAGAUAGGUGGAUAGCAUACCUCAACCUGGCGUUGUAAUGAUUGAGCAUAAUUGAUUAUCUCAUCAAGGACGAGAGCUUAUCCAAUAACCUGUAACCAAACAAAGUCAAACUGGCUUUCCCCACUGCAUUUCAAAAGCAAAUGUUACAUACCAUUGAAAUUGAAUUCACAUUUUGAUGUUAAUUUAUGUGAAGAGAAUUAGAGGUUAAAGUCCCAACAUCCUAGAACCAGCAAUGGGGCUAGAAUGCAAGCAUCUUUAGAGGCAUAAGGUUCACUCUGCUCUAUUUUCUUGAAGAAGUAAGAUGUUAAAACCAGCACAAUUCCUGCACCGAUCAUGUGGCUGGAACUCAGGUAGCUUUAAAGAUAUUAGAUUCAUUAAACUAUAUGUUCCUGACAAAUGGAACAGCAGGUGCAGUUAGAGAGUUCUUUGAACACAAACAAAUGCCUGAUAGCAGGAAGGCUGGUACAUCCCAAUGAUUAACAAAAUUGCAUCAAAACUGAAGGCUAAUAACACCAGGAAAUUGAAGCAGAAAAAAUGAACUGAAAAAAAUAGGCGUGGUCUGAUAGGAGUAGUUAGUUAAACAAACCAAGCAUGUUAAAAUCUGUUGGAUCCAACUUCAAACAAAAGAAGCAACAAAUUAAAACGCGCAAAAAAUUUCUAAGGCAUGAAUUCCACUAGUAUCUGUAUUUUAUCAGUAUAAACUACAAGAGAAUAUAUAACAAAUUGCUCUUAGUUACUUAAUGUUACCCGGGAAAAAAAUGUGAAAAAAUUUAGGAGAUGAGUUAACAAGCAUAACUUACCACUCAAUACCAUCAUAUCAACAUAUCAAUCUGUUAAACCAAAAUAUGCAUAGAUUAGCAUCCAAUCAAGUUGGCUUCAUCAAAAUUUUUGUCCCUAAAAUUACUCCACAGUAAGAGAUCUUAUGGGGAACACAUACGAAUACAAGAUAUAAAAAAUAAGAUGAGUCAAAUGUGAAUACCGUUUCUGAACAUAGCUUUAAACCAAAUAUGAAUAUCAUCUCUAAACAUACCUAUAAACGAAAUAAAUAAGACUACUUAAAGAUGCAAUAUUGUUACCUUUAGAUAAAAAACCAUAUUAAAUAAAAAAUAUAUAUUUGGAUUUGUAUUCAUUUAUUGCUGAAUAAGUAGCAGUAUUUGC
This 1303-nucleotide long non-coding RNA is filed under the name Nicotiana benthamiana. Its description in RNAcentral is "long non-coding RNA (NBEN_LNC013214)". The record is from RNAcentral. Lineage: Eukaryota; Viridiplantae; Streptophyta; Magnoliopsida; Solanales; Solanaceae.